UACGAAGGGGGCGAGCGUUGUUCGGAUUUACUGGGCGUAAAGGGCGCGCAGGCGGCUCGUUUUGUCAGGCGUGAAAGCCCCGGGCUUAACCUGGGAAUUGCGUUUGAUACGGACGGGCUAGAGUUCGGGAGAGGAGAGUGGAAUUCCCAGUGUAGAGGUGAAAUUCGUAGAUAUUGGGAAGAACACCGGUGGCGAAGGCGGCUCUCUGGACCGAGACUGACGCUGAGGCGCGAAAGCGUGGGGAGCAAACGGG
This 253-nucleotide ribosomal RNA is filed under the name uncultured bacterium. Its description in RNAcentral is "partial 16S ribosomal RNA". It matches the Rfam family "Bacterial small subunit ribosomal RNA", at positions 524 to 776 of the family's 1533-position model. The record is from RNAcentral.